AUCUUUCUGAGGAAACAGAACAUACUUGGCUCUCACUUUUCAUGCCCUGUUGGCUGGAUUUCUUCUUGGCUCUCUUCUGCACAGGGCAGAAAGACUGCAGUGUGUGUUUAUCAUUGGGAUGCUCUGAUGGGAAGCUGAAGUCUCAGAACAAGAACCCACUUUUCUUCACGCGUGAAUUGCCCACACCCGUCAAGCUGGGCAGUGACCCAUGAAGAGUGCUUCUGUAACUAUCAGAU
Molecule: long non-coding RNA, 236 nt
Filed under: Homo sapiens (human)
Lineage: Eukaryota; Metazoa; Chordata; Mammalia; Primates; Hominidae
Description: HSALNT0180918
Source: RNAcentral